CUCUGCAAGAUGUAAACUAAGAUCAAAGAGAAAACCAGUGUGUAUAUAAAAUAUACACCUUGUAUCACAAUGACCAAACAUCACUUGAGUACCUCUGAAGUACUUAUCAAACAUGACAAGAACAUUGUAUAUUCAAGUUAGUGUACAUAGUAGUUCACUUUAUAUGAAGUUCAUCAUAAAAGUCGUGACUUUACACUUUACAAAC
This 205-nucleotide long non-coding RNA is filed under the name Mytilus galloprovincialis (Mediterranean mussel). Lineage: Eukaryota; Metazoa; Mollusca; Bivalvia; Mytilida; Mytilidae. The record is from RNAcentral.